RNAcentral lists this ribosomal RNA (873 nucleotides) under uncultured bacterium. Its description in RNAcentral is "bacterial SSU rRNA". It matches the Rfam family "Bacterial small subunit ribosomal RNA", at positions 59 to 936 of the family's 1533-position model. The record is from RNAcentral.
UGGUCGAACGAGAAAGUCCCGCAAGGGAUGAGUAAAGUGGCGCACGGGUGAGUAACACGUAGCUAACCUGCCCUCGAGUGGGGGAUAACCUGGGGAAACUCGGGCUAAUACCGCAUAACGUCCUGGUUGCGCGAGCAGCCGGGAUCAAAGGCCCGCAAGGGUCACUUGAGGAGGGGGCUGCGGCCGAUUAGCUAGUUGGGAGGAAUGGCCCACCAAGGCUAUGAUCGGUAGCCGGCCUGAGAGGGCGCACGGCCACACUGGCACUGAAACACGGGCCAGACUCCUACGGGAGGCAGCGUGGGGAAUUUUGCACAAUGCCCGAAAGGGUGAUGCAGCAACGCCGCGUGAGGGAUGAAGGCCUUCGGGUCGUAAACCUCUUUCGAUCGGGAAAAACGGGCUGGUGAAUAGCCGGCUCUGAUGGUACCGGAUGAAGAAGCCCCGGCCAACUACGUGCCAGCAGCCGCGGUAAUACGUAGGGGGCGAGCGUUGUUCGGAAUUACUGGGCGUAAAGGGCGUGUAGGCGGUGCGGUAAGUCGGGCGUGAAAUCCCCGGGCUUAACCCGGGGCGGUCGUUCGAAACUGCCGUGCUAGAGUGCAGGAGAGGGAAGUGGAAUUCCCGGUGUAGCGGUGAAAUGCGUAGAUAUCGGGAGGAACACCUGCGGCGAAGGCGGCUUCCUGGACUGCAACUGACGCUGAGGCGCGAAAGCUAGGGGAGCAAACAGGAUUAGAUACCCUGGUAGUCCUAGCCCUAAACGAUGAGCACUGGGGUGUGGCCCCGUACGGGGCCGUGCCGAACUACGCAUUAAGUGCUCCGCCUGGGGAGUACGGUCGCAGGUGAAACUCAAGGAAUUGACGGGGCCCGCACAGCGGUGGA